RNAcentral lists this ribosomal RNA (446 nucleotides) under uncultured bacterium. Its description in RNAcentral is "bacterial SSU rRNA". It matches the Rfam family "Bacterial small subunit ribosomal RNA", at positions 331 to 793 of the family's 1533-position model. The record is from RNAcentral.
CCAGACUCCUACGGGAGGCAGCAGUGGGGAAUAUUGCACAAUGGGGGGAACCCUGAUGCAGCGACGCCGCGUGGGUGAAGGAGUAUUUCGGUAUGUAAAGCCCUAUCAGCAGGGAAGAACAAUGACGGUACCUGACUAAGAAGCACCGGCUAAAUACGUGCCAGCAGCCGCGGUAAUACGUAUGGGGCAAGCGUUAUCCGGAUUUACUGGGCGUAAAGGGGGCGCAGACGGCGAUGCAAGCCAGGAGUGAAAGCCCGGGGCCCAACCCCGGGACUGCUCUUGGAACUGCGUGGCUGGAGUGCAGGAGGGGCAGGCGGAAUUCCUGGUGUAGCGGUGAAAUGCGUAGAUAUCAGGAGGAACACCGGUGGCGAAGGCGGCCUGCUGGACUGCAACUGACGUUGAGGCCCGAAAGCGUGGGGAGCAAACAGGAUUAGAUACCCGGGUAC